This 460-nucleotide ribosomal RNA is filed under the name uncultured bacterium. RNAcentral describes it as "partial 16S ribosomal RNA". It matches the Rfam family "Bacterial small subunit ribosomal RNA", at positions 338 to 795 of the family's 1533-position model. The record is from RNAcentral.
CCUAGUGGUGACAUCAUUGAGGAGUAUUGGUCCCUGGACGAGAGUCUGAACCCUCCCCUCCUCUUUCCCUCUUCCUUCCCUCUUUUUUUUCCCCUUCUUUUCUCCCGUAAUAAAACGAGGUACGUGUGCCUUUUUGCAUGUACUUUAUGAAUAAGGAUCGGCUAACUCCGUGCCAGCAGCCGCGGUAAUACGGAGGAUCCGAGCGUUAUCCGGAUUUAUUGGGUUUAAAGGGAGCGUAGAUGGGUUGUUAAGUCAGUUGUGAAAGUUUGCGGCUCAACCGUAAAAUUGCAAUUGAUACUGGCAGUCUUGAGUACAGUUGAGGUAGGCGGAAUUCGUGGUGUAGCGGUGAAAUGCUUAGAUAUCACGAAGAACCCCGAUUGCGAAGGCAGCUUACUAAACUGUGACUGACAUUGAUGCUCGAAAGUGUGGGUAGCAAACAGGAUUAGAUACCCUAGUAGUC